This is a long non-coding RNA of Leopardus geoffroyi (Geoffroy's cat), 1235 nucleotides long. RefSeq lists it as uncharacterized. The record is from RefSeq and is a predicted model, not a curated record. Lineage: Eukaryota; Metazoa; Chordata; Mammalia; Carnivora; Felidae. The transcript has 5 exons.
GCUACAGGAAAUAGGUUUUCUUUUUAUCCAACUUCACUCUGAAAUGAGAAAACGAGCACCCUGACAAGGAAGCCCACAGACCAACAGGGAUUCCGAGCCCAGAUCUCAUCAUGAUAAAGAAUGUUUAAUUGUUAGCUAAAGGUUCAGUCCGUGAGCAGGAACACCAAGGUUUUGAUACAAAGUAUCAAAACAAGGGCUGACGAGAUGGAAACGCUCCUGGAAUCCUGACAGGGAGUUUGUUGCAUCAGCGUCUCAGAGGAGUCCUGGUAAAGUCCUACCACAGAAGAUCCAGCCUUCAUUUUGAACUUGGAAACCUCCCCAUUCGCAGGCAGUGGCAAUGCCAGCAAGCCACAGGUGGGCACCGCGUGAGCAGGUAUUUAUUUUUUUAGUCGGGAGGUUUAGGAGAGUUUCAGACGAACGAGCGUCCAUGCCUUGGAAAUCCCAGAGAAGAAAAGUCAAGCAGCAUCAGGAAGAGAAACUGGCCGAGCUCUCAGCCGGCCUGCCCUGUGGUAAGGAAGCCACACUCGGGUGAGCUGCCCUCACUGCCAGGGGUGGCCGACAGACAGCAGCUUCUCUGCUGCAGAUUGAGAGAAACCUGACAUUGGCCUCUUGCACUGCACCUCAGAAGGAGGCAGGCUGCCGGGGACGCAGGGUGUGGGCGUCUGGGUAGCAUGUGAACACAGGAGACAGGGAGAGCUAUUCGGGAAGACGUGCUCGGUGGUUUCCUCUGGGCUCCUUGCUUAUUACCACCCUGAUUUUUGAGAUGGGAGCCGAAACCCCUACUAGCAUAAGGAACAUCAAUGACAGGUCCCCCUCUACUCCAGCCACACCAAGCAUCCCUAACAAACAACACUACUAACCAAACCCGCCCACACCUAUAGUAAGUACAUCUUUAAAAACCCGAAUAGCUGCUGGCAGCGCAGGCUGUGGCUACAAUUCAGACCCAGCUGGAUUGAGCGCAAGGUGAAGUUUGGCCGUGAAACUUUGUAUCUUCCCUUCUGGAUAGAACAAAGGUGGAUGCCUUGACACAGACUUGGUGGCCGUUUUGAGAGCUGGCCUUGCUUCUGACCAUUCAUGUGGUCACCACGUCCUUCGGCUUACAGUGACCGUGAAACCAAAUUCAUCAUUCUUGACCAAAAGGACAAAAACUGGGCUGAAAUGAUCUGCUAAAGGUUACAAACUGACUCGAGUAAGGAUGAAGACAUGUAGUACUUGGCGAGUCCAGUUGAGUCAGG